RNAcentral lists this ribosomal RNA (492 nucleotides) under uncultured bacterium. RNAcentral's name for it is "partial 16S ribosomal RNA". It matches the Rfam family "Bacterial small subunit ribosomal RNA", at positions 29 to 507 of the family's 1533-position model. The record is from RNAcentral.
AGUGAACGCUGGCGGUAGGCCUAACACAUGCAAGUCGAACGGCAGCACAGUAAGAGCUUGCUCUUACGGGUGGCGAGUGGCGGACGGGUGAGGAAUACAUCGGAAUCUACUUUUUCGUGGGGGAUAACGUAGGGAAACUUACGCUAAUACCGCAUACGCCCUACGGGUGAAAGCAGGGGAUCUUCGGACCUUGCGCGAUUGAAUGAGCCGAUGUCGGAUUAGCUAGUUGGCGGGGUAAAGGCCCACCAAGGCGACGAUCCGUAGCUGGUCUGAGAGGAUGAUCGGCCACACUGGAACUGAGCCACGGUCCAGACUCCUACGGGAGGCAGCAGUGGGGAAUAUUGGACAAUGGGCGCAAGCCUGAUCCAGCCAUACCGCGUGGGUGAAGAAGGCCUUCGGGUUGUAAAGCCCUUUUGUUGGGAAAGAAAAGCAGCAGGUUAAUACCCCGCUGUUCUGACGGUACCCAAAGAAUAAGCACCGGCUAACUUCGUG